This 29-nucleotide small RNA is filed under the name Bombyx mori (domestic silkworm). RNAcentral's name for it is "piRNA piR-bmo-2044643". The record is from RNAcentral. Lineage: Eukaryota; Metazoa; Arthropoda; Insecta; Lepidoptera; Bombycidae.
UAAUGCAACUCACAUCGCACCGCGCGGUU